This 70-nucleotide transfer RNA is filed under the name Dipodomys ordii (Ord's kangaroo rat). It matches the Rfam family "tRNA". From Rfam's summary of the family: Transfer RNA (tRNA) molecules are approximately 80 nucleotides in length. Lineage: Eukaryota; Metazoa; Chordata; Mammalia; Rodentia; Heteromyidae. The record is from Rfam by way of RNAcentral.
GGGCAUGUGGCUUAGUGGCAAAGUGCUUGCCUAGCAUGCAUGAAGCCCUGGGUUCGAUUCCUCAGUACCA